CUGCUCCAGAAUAGCUCUUGGAAACGGGUGGUAAUGCUGGAUGCUCCAACUUGACGCAUGUCUUGUUGGGAAAGUGUUUAGUGGCAUGGGAUGGGGUCGCGUCCUAUCAGCUUGUAGGCGGGGUAAUGGCCCACCUAGGCUUCGACGGGUAGCCGGCCUGAGAGGGCGGACGGCCACAUUGGGACUGAGAUACGGCCCAGACUCCUACGGGAGGCAGCAGCG
Molecule: ribosomal RNA, 222 nt
Filed under: uncultured Gardnerella sp.
Lineage: Bacteria; Bacillati; Actinomycetota; Actinomycetes; Bifidobacteriales; Bifidobacteriaceae
Description: partial 16S ribosomal RNA
Rfam family: Bacterial small subunit ribosomal RNA
Source: RNAcentral